UUGAUCAAGCUACAAAGAGCACAUAAUGGAUGCCUUGGUGCCAAUAGGCGAUGAAGGACGUGGCUAACUGCGAUA
RNAcentral lists this ribosomal RNA (75 nucleotides) under Chthoniobacterales bacterium. Its description in RNAcentral is "partial 23S ribosomal RNA". The record is from RNAcentral. Lineage: Bacteria; Pseudomonadati; Verrucomicrobiota; Spartobacteria; Chthoniobacterales.